AGUGAACGCUGGCGGUAGGCCUAACACAUGCAAGUCGAACGGCAGCACAGUAAGAGCUUGCUCUUACGGGUGGCGAGUGGCGGACGGGUGAGGAAUACAUCGGAAUCUACUUUUUCGUGGGGGAUAACGUAGGGAAACUUACGCUAAUACCGCAUACGACCUACGGGUGAAAGCAGGGGAUCUUCGGACCUUGCGCGAUUGAAUGAGCCGAUUUCGGAUUAGCUAGUUGGCGGGGUAAAGGCCCACCAAGGCGACGAUCCGUAGCUGGUCUGAGAGGAUGAUCAGCCACACUGGAACUGAGACACGGUCCAGACUCCUACGGGAGGCAGCAGUGGGGAAUAUUGGGCAAUGGGCGCAAGCCUGAUCCAGCCAUACCGCGUGAGUGAAGAAGGCCUUCGGGUUGUAAAGCCCUUUUGUUGGGAAAGAAAAGCAGCAGGUUAAUACCCCGCUGUUCUGACGGUACCCAAAGAAUAAGCACCGGCUAACUUCGUG
Molecule: ribosomal RNA, 492 nt
Filed under: uncultured bacterium
Lineage: Bacteria
Description: partial 16S ribosomal RNA
Rfam family: Bacterial small subunit ribosomal RNA
Source: RNAcentral